GAUGAACGCUAGCUACAGGCUUAACACAUGCAAGUCGAGGGGUAACGAGAGGAAAGCUUGCUUUCCUUGUCGACGACCGGCGCACGGGUGAGUAACGCGUAUCCAACCUGCCCCCAACUAGGGAAUAACCCUGCGAAAGUAAGACUAAUACCCUAUAAUUUCCUCAGAUGACAUCUGACGAGGAAUAAAGAUUUAUCAGUUGUGGAUGGGGAUGCGUCUGAUUAGCUUGUUGGCGGGGUAACGGCCCACCAAGGCAACGAUCAGUAGGGGUUCUGAGAGGAAGGUCCCCCACAUUGGAACUGAGACACGGUCCAAACUCCUACGGGGGGCAGCAGUGAGGAAUAUUGGUCAAUGGGCGGAAGCCUGAACCAGCCAAGUAGCGUGCAGGAUGACGGCCCUAUGGGUUGUAAACUGCUUUUAUACAGGAAUAAAGUUAGCCACGUGUGGUUAUUUGUAGGUACUGUAUGAAUAAGGACCGGCUAAUUCCGUGCCAGCCGCCGCGGUAA
This 506-nucleotide ribosomal RNA is filed under the name uncultured bacterium. Its description in RNAcentral is "partial 16S ribosomal RNA". It matches the Rfam family "Bacterial small subunit ribosomal RNA", at positions 28 to 523 of the family's 1533-position model. The record is from RNAcentral.